UCCAUUCCUCCCUCUCCCUCAGGGCAGAGUUGUGGGAUGCACCACUGGGCGGUUCUCCCCAGCUGCAGGCAAUCUGCUGUUCACACACCUGUCUCCUGUGAUCAUCAGGACUGGCUUUUAUACUCUGCCAUCUCCUCACUUCCCUGCUGGAUUAUUGAGUCAUGUUUUGUUUCUGGAGACCCUGCUCAGCUUCCGUGCCACUCUGCCUACGGAGGAUGCCUUGCUGGAAACUCACCUGCGUGGACUUACGUCUCCGUCAGCUCCGCCUCACCAGCAUCACCUGACCUCACCCUUACCUGCCAUUCCAUGCCACACCAGAGGAACCAUUCCCCUAGCAUCAAGCCUGUUUCACCAUAUCUUGGGUUUCAAUAAACUGUGUAAAAAUUCU
Long non-coding RNA from Micropterus salmoides (largemouth bass), 388 nucleotides. RefSeq lists it as uncharacterized. Lineage: Eukaryota; Metazoa; Chordata; Actinopteri; Centrarchiformes; Centrarchidae. The transcript is spliced from 2 exons. The record is from RefSeq and is a predicted model, not a curated record.